GAUGAACGCUGGCGGCGUGCCUAAUACAUGCAAGUCGAGCGAACGGACGCUGCGCUUGCUUCUCUCUUGUUAGCGGCGGACGGGUGAGUCACACGUGGAUCACCUCCCUAUAAGACUGGUAUCACUUCGGGAAACCGGAUCUAAUACCGGAUAAUCUUUUGAACCGCAUUGUUCAAAAGUGAAAGACGGUCUUGCUGUCACUUCUCGCUGGAUCCGGGCUGGAUUAGCUAGUUGGUAAGGUAACGGCUUACCAAGGAAACGAUGCCUAGACGACCUGAGAGAGGGAUCGGCGACACGGGAACGGAGACACGGACAAGACGACUACGGGAGGCAGCAGUAGGGAAUCGGACGCAAUGGGCGAGAGUCUGACGGAGCAACGGCGAGUGAGUGACGAAGGUGUUAGGAUCGUAAAAAUGGGUUAUGAGGGAAGAACAGAUGUGGAAGGAAAUGUGCACAGAGUGACGGUAACUAAUCAGAAAGCAACGGCUAACUACGUG
Molecule: ribosomal RNA, 497 nt
Filed under: uncultured bacterium
Lineage: Bacteria
Description: partial 16S ribosomal RNA
Rfam family: Bacterial small subunit ribosomal RNA
Source: RNAcentral